GUGCUCGCUUCGGCAGCACGUAUGCUAAAAUUGGAACAAGGCAAAGAAAAUUAGCAUGGCCCCUGCACAAGGAUGACACGCAAAUUCAUGAAGUGUUCCAUAUAUUU
Sorex fumeus (smoky shrew) is the source of this 107-nucleotide small nuclear RNA. Lineage: Eukaryota; Metazoa; Chordata; Mammalia; Eulipotyphla; Soricidae. The record is from RefSeq and is a predicted model, not a curated record.